AGCUGGCUAUGCAAUCGCGCUGAGACUAAAUGGGUAACCAAUUGAUCUCAGGGAGGAAAGUCCGGGCUCCACAGGGCAAGGUGCCAGGUAACGCCUGGGGGGCGUGAGUCCACGGCCAGUGCCACAGAAAAUAUACCGCCUGCCUCGCAGGUAAGGGUGAAAUGGUGCGGUAAGAGCGCACCGCGCUGCUGGUAACAGUAGUGGCAGGGUAAACCCCACCUGGAGCAAGACCAAAUAGGGGGACUUAUAAUGCGGCCCGCAUUGUUCCCGGGUAGGUUGCUUGAGUUGUGCGGUGACGUACAUUCCAGAUGAAUGAUUGCACGCGACAGAACCCGGCUUAUCGGCCAACUCC
This 352-nucleotide RNase P RNA is filed under the name marine sediment metagenome. RNAcentral describes it as "Bacterial RNase P class A". It matches the Rfam family "Bacterial RNase P class A". From Rfam's summary of the family: Ribonuclease P (RNase P) is a ubiquitous endoribonuclease, found in archaea, bacteria and eukarya as well as chloroplasts and mitochondria. RNAcentral also lists the same sequence under 1 other name. The record is from RNAcentral.